This 1092-nucleotide long non-coding RNA is filed under the name Physeter macrocephalus (sperm whale). RNAcentral's name for it is "Physeter catodon (sperm whale) lncRNA (ENSPCTG00005007850.1)". The record is from RNAcentral. Lineage: Eukaryota; Metazoa; Chordata; Mammalia; Artiodactyla; Physeteridae.
AGCCCUUAGCGGAGCGCACAGACUACAACUCCGGGGCUGGUUGGACCAACACCCCAGGAUACCCAGGUAAGGCGUGUCCUCACUGCGCCGUUAGUUGCCCGCUCGAAGUGAGGCACUGCCCACGGCGGAGUUCCUGUCCUGAGGAUCAAGCUGGAGGAAUUAACUGUCCGGGAGGCGAAGGCUGCGCCCACCCAGGGCCCACACUCCACGCGCCUGUGUAGUUCCUACAAGCGCCUCUUGCCCCGUCCGGGAGCGCGCGGACCCCAUCGCGGCUCCUCUUGGCUGACUUGCCCCUUGAACCUCGGAGUUCCCUGGGGUUGAGUCCCUGGUGGACAGAUCGCUCCACAAGCUCUCCGUCAUCUACACCCAGGCUUCAGCUGCAUCUGUGUCAUCCCCAAAUCUCCAUCUGCAUCGAGCCCAGGAUCCACACUUCCAACUGCUCACUGGACAUCUCCACUUGGACACUUGGAGUCAUUGAAGCUCCUUCCUCGUCACCAGCAUCCAGGCAGUCACCAAAUCCUUAUACUCCUCUCUGCAAAACUUCUCUCCCCAUCAGCCCUCUCUACUCCAUUCCCUCUAAUCCCGUGCCAACCCCGGCUUGGUCAUCUUUGAUCUGGACUUUUGAGCAGAUGCCUCACUGGUCUUCCUUCCUGCAGCCCUACUUUCUACCCACAAACCCAUCCUCCACAUUACCUCCAGAAUGAUUUUAUACACAGAUCUGGUUCCAUCUCUUGCCUGCUUCCUAAUUCCUGAUGGAAUGGUCCACAGGUAACAUCCAAACUCCUUAGCAUAGUAAUGGGCGAGGUUUCUUUUAAAUUAUUUGCUCAUGUGCUAUAUACUUUUAAAGAGUUAACAGGUAUUGGUUGUCUAUGGCUGCUGUAACAAAUUACCACAAACUUAGUGCCUUGAAUGACAUGAAUUAUUAUUUUCCAGUUCUGUAGGUUAGAAGUUCAAUGUCAUCUCACAGGGCUAAAAUCAAGGCAUCAGCAGGGCUGCGUUCCUUUUGGAGGCUCUAGGGGAGAAUCUGUUUCCGUGCCUUUUCUAGAGGCAGCCUUUAUUCCUUGGCUUGUGGCCCUCUCUUCCAUCUACACA